AAAAAAACAUAUGCAUGUGAUCCUGAAAA
RNAcentral lists this small RNA (29 nucleotides) under Arabidopsis thaliana (thale cress). RNAcentral's name for it is "ATSL160520". The record is from RNAcentral. Lineage: Eukaryota; Viridiplantae; Streptophyta; Magnoliopsida; Brassicales; Brassicaceae.